AUACGUAGGGAGCGAGCGUUGUCCGGAUUUACUGGGUGUAAAGGGUGCGUAGGCGGCUCUGCAAGUCAGGUGUGAAAACCAUCGGCUUAACUGAUGGACUGCAUUUGAAACUGUGGGGCUUGAGUGAAGUAGAGGCAGACGGAAUUCCCGGUGUAGCGGUGAAAUGCGUAGAGAUCGGGAGGAUCACCGGUGGCGAAGGCGGUCUGCUGGGCUUUAACUGACGCUGGGGCACGAAGGCAUGAGUAGCAAACAGGAUUAGAUACCCUGGUAGUCCAUGCCGUAAACGAUGAUUACUAGGUGUGGGGGGUCUGACCCCCUCCGUGCCGGAGUUAACACAAUAAGUAAUCCACCUGGGAAGUACGACCGCAAGGUUGAA
Molecule: ribosomal RNA, 376 nt
Filed under: uncultured bacterium
Lineage: Bacteria
Description: bacterial SSU rRNA
Rfam family: Bacterial small subunit ribosomal RNA
Source: RNAcentral